GAAGACUCUACUUGACUAGCUGAGAGGAGGUGCAUGCCGUCGUCAGUUCGUACUGUGAAGCAUCCUGUUAAGUCAGGCAACGAGCGAGACCCACGCCAACAGUUGCCAGCUCGUCCUCCGGGAUGGAGGGGACACUGUUGGGACCGCCUCUGCUAAAGAGGAGGAAGGAAUGGGCAACGGUAGGUCAGCAUGCCCCCGAAUUAAUUGGGCUACACGCGGGCUACAAUGGGUGGGACAAUGGGUAUCGACACCGAAAGGUGAAGGCAAUCUCCUAAACCCAUCCGUAGUUCGGAUUGUGGGCUGCAACUCGCCCACAUGAAGCUGGAAUCUGUAGUAAUCGUGUUUCAAAAUAGCACGGUGAAUAUGUCCCUGCUCCUU
RNAcentral lists this ribosomal RNA (378 nucleotides) under uncultured Methanomicrobiales archaeon. Its description in RNAcentral is "bacterial SSU rRNA". It matches the Rfam family "Archaeal small subunit ribosomal RNA", at positions 961 to 1338 of the family's 1478-position model. Lineage: Archaea; Methanobacteriati; Methanobacteriota; Methanomicrobia; Methanomicrobiales. The record is from RNAcentral.